This 465-nucleotide ribosomal RNA is filed under the name uncultured bacterium. Its description in RNAcentral is "partial 16S ribosomal RNA". It matches the Rfam family "Bacterial small subunit ribosomal RNA", at positions 28 to 506 of the family's 1533-position model. The record is from RNAcentral.
GACGAACGCUGGCGGCGUGCUUAACACAUGCAAGUCGAACGGAAAGGCCCAGCUUGCUGGGUACUCGAGUGGCGAACGGGUGAGUAACACGUGGGUGAUCUGCCCUGGACUCUGGGAUAAGCCUGGGAAACUGGGUCUAAUACCGGAUAUGACCUUACAUCGCAUGGUGUUUGGUGGAAAGCUUUUGCGGUUCAGGAUGGGCCCGCGGCCUAUCAGCUUGUUGGUGGGGUAAUGGCCUACCAAGGCGACGACGGGUAGCCGACCUGAGAGGGUGAUCGGCCACACGGGGACUGAGACACGGCCCAGACUCCUACGGGAGGCAGCAGUGGGGAAUAUUGCACAAUGGGCGCAAGCCUGAUGCAGCGACGCCGCGUGAGGGAGGACGGCCUUCGGGUUGUAAACCUCUUUCACCAGGGACGAAGCGUGAGUGACGGUACCUGGAGAAGAAGCACCGGCCAACUACGU